UACAGAGGGUGCGAGCGUUAAUCGGAAUUACUGGGCGUAAAGCGUGCGUAGACGGUAGCGUAGUCAGAUGUGAAAGCCCCGGGCUCAACCUGGGAAUUGCAUUCGAGACUGCGUGGCUAGGGGUGCGGAAGAGGGAAGCGGAAUUUCCGGUGUAGCGGUGAAAUGCGUAGAUAUCGGAAGGAACACCAGUGGCGAAAGCGGCUUCCUGGUCCAGCACCGACGUCAGGCACGAAA
RNAcentral lists this ribosomal RNA (234 nucleotides) under uncultured bacterium. RNAcentral describes it as "partial 16S ribosomal RNA". It matches the Rfam family "Bacterial small subunit ribosomal RNA", at positions 524 to 758 of the family's 1533-position model. The record is from RNAcentral.